GCAUAUCAAUAAGCGGAGGAAAAGAAACCAACAGGGAUUGCCUUAGUAGCGGCGAGUGAAGCGGCAAAAGCUCAAAUUUGAAAUCUGGCACUUUCAGUGUCCGAGUUGUAAUUUGAAGAAGGUAUCUUUGGGUCUGGCUCUUGUCUAUGUUUCUUGGAACAGAACGUCACAGAGGGUGAGAAUCCCGUGCGAUGAGAUGUCCCAGACCUAUGUAAAGUUCCUUCGAAGAGUCGAGUUGUUUGGGAAUGCAGCUCUAAGUGGGUGGUAAAUUCCAUCUAAAGCUAAAUAUUGGCGAGAGACCGAUAGCGAACAAGUACAGUGAUGGAAAGAUGAAAAGAACUUUGAAAAGAGAGUGAAAAAGUACGUGAAAUUGUUGAAAGGGAAGGGCUUGAGAUCAGACUUGGUAUUUUGUAUGUUACUCUCUCGGGGGUGGCCUCUACAGUUUACCGGGCCAGCAUCAGUUUGGGCGGUAGGACAAUUGCAAAGAAAUGUGGCACUGCCUCGGUAGUGUGUUAUAGUCUUUGUCGAUACUGCCAGCCUAGACUGAGGACUGCGGCUUCGGCCUAGGAUGUUGGCAUAAUGAUCUUAAGUCGCCCGUCUUGAAACACGG
This 610-nucleotide ribosomal RNA is filed under the name Lodderomyces orthopsilosis. Its description in RNAcentral is "eukaryotic LSU rRNA". It matches the Rfam family "Eukaryotic large subunit ribosomal RNA", at positions 38 to 664 of the family's 3401-position model. The record is from RNAcentral. Lineage: Eukaryota; Fungi; Ascomycota; Pichiomycetes; Serinales; Debaryomycetaceae.